AAGUGUGUGUCUUUUUGUUUUUCACAGAGUUUAAGGGUCAUGAGACCAAAAAGUGAGAAAAACCACUGUGGUUCAUCCCCAGCCGGGAUUGUCCAGUUUAAGGGUCAUGAGACCAAAAAGUGAGAAAAACCACUGUGGUUCAUCCCCAGCCGGGAUUGGUCCAUUUGUUGCUCUGACCUCAUAAAGUGCCAGUGUGAUGGAAUUGCAAACCACUCCCAUACAUAAGGCCCUGCCUGGGCUGAGGAUUUAGUCCGUGUAGUGCAGGGAGCUCG
This is a long non-coding RNA of Pipistrellus kuhlii (Kuhl's pipistrelle), 272 nucleotides long. RefSeq lists it as uncharacterized. NCBI's taxonomy places the organism in Eukaryota, Metazoa, Chordata, Mammalia, Chiroptera, Vespertilionidae. The transcript has 3 exons. The record is from RefSeq and is a predicted model, not a curated record.